UAUACAGAGUAAUAUUAAAUUAUUUGCCGAUGAUACAUCCUUAUAUGUGAUAAUUGAUGACCCUAUAGUAUCUUCCAAUAUGUUAAACGAUGAUUUAGAAAUAAUAGCUAAAUGGGCCCAGACAUGGAGAGUAAAACUGAAUCUAUCAUUUUUUCUAGAAAAAAAACAGUAACAUCAAUGCCAGAUCUUAUAAUGAAUGAUAUACCGAUAAAGUCUGUUGACACUCAUAAACAUCUGGGGCUGACUUUACAAAGUGAUGGCCACUGGAAUAUACAUAUAGAUGAUACUAUUUCUAAAGUCAGUGCUAUGAUCAAUUGUUUAAGAAACCAAUAUACUUUGUUUAUU
Long non-coding RNA from Haliotis rubra (blacklip abalone), 345 nucleotides. RefSeq lists it as uncharacterized. The transcript has 3 exons. Lineage: Eukaryota; Metazoa; Mollusca; Gastropoda; Lepetellida; Haliotidae. The record is from RefSeq and is a predicted model, not a curated record.